GUUUAUUAAAAUGAAUAUGCAACAGAUUACCAAAUAAGGCUUUACAAACCAUCAAUGAAGUCGGUUCGCGUACGAAUUGACCCGCGUACGAGUUGGUCGCGUACGAGUUGGUUCGCGUACGAGUUGACCUGUAUUCAGUUAUCUAGGUUCACGUUGAUAUGGACGAAAGGUUUGGGUCGACAUGCUUUCGUGAGAUUUUAGCCAAUAUUGAGGGUGAAUAAAACAGGAAUUCGUCAAGUCGCAACGUACGAAGUGUACAUGCAGUGUCAUGGCGUGACGAGUAGGGACCUUCGUCGCCAUGUUUUGGCAUGAUUUCGGAGAUUCAGACGGAAAUCUCAAAGACCUAUUGGUUGUCUCUCGGACGCUGUGGAGGAGGUUUGCCUGAGACAGUUCUUCUUAUGCGGAGUGUACGGCAUUCCACCAUGACACGCAGAUGACGUACCCUGCCCUGACGAAGGAUACCUUCAGAAAAUUUGACAAUUUUCAUCGGUUUUGAAGAGUUUCCUCCUAUUUCUGGAUUGAAGAUGG
This 528-nucleotide long non-coding RNA is filed under the name Patiria miniata (bat star). RNAcentral's name for it is "uncharacterized LOC119739286". The record is from RNAcentral. Lineage: Eukaryota; Metazoa; Echinodermata; Asteroidea; Valvatida; Asterinidae.